RNAcentral lists this ribosomal RNA (388 nucleotides) under uncultured bacterium. Its description in RNAcentral is "bacterial SSU rRNA". It matches the Rfam family "Bacterial small subunit ribosomal RNA", at positions 29 to 419 of the family's 1533-position model. The record is from RNAcentral.
AUUGAACGCUGGCGGCAUGCCUUACACAUGCAAGUCGAACGGCAGCACGGGGGCAACCCUGGUGGCGAGUGGCGAACGGGUGAGUAACACAUCGGAACGUGCCCAGUAGUGGGGGAUAGCUCGGCGAAAGCCGGAUUAAUACCGCAUACGACCUACGGGUGAAAGCGGGGGAUCGCAAGACCUCGCGCUAUCGGAGCGGCCGAUGUCAGAUUAGGUUGUUGGGGGGUAAAGGCCUACCAAGCCGACGAUCUGUAGCUGGUCUGAGAGGACGACCAGCCACACUGGGACUGAGACACGGCCCAGACUCCUACGGGAGGCAGCAGUGGGGAAUUUUGGACAAUGGGCGCAAGCCUGAUCCAGCCAUGCCGCGUGCGGGAAGAAGGCCUGG